RNAcentral lists this ribosomal RNA (961 nucleotides) under Periconia byssoides. Its description in RNAcentral is "SSU rRNA". It matches the Rfam family "Eukaryotic small subunit ribosomal RNA", at positions 134 to 1104 of the family's 1831-position model. Lineage: Eukaryota; Fungi; Ascomycota; Dothideomycetes; Pleosporales; Periconiaceae. The record is from RNAcentral.
ACUACUUGGAUAACCGUGGUAAUUCUAGAGCUAAUACAUGCUAAAAACCCCAACUUCGGGAGGGGUGUAUUUAUUAGAUAAAAAACCAAUGCCCUUCGGGGCUCCUUGGUGAUUCAUAAUAACUUCUCAGAUCGCAUGGCCUUGCGCCGGCGACGGUUCAUUCAAAUUUCUGCCCUAUCAACUUUCGAUGGUAAGGUAUUGGCUUACCAUGGUUUCAACGGGUAACGGGGAAUUAGGGUUCGAUUCCGGAGAGGGAGCCUGAGAAACGGCUACCACAUCCAAGGAAGGCAGCAGGCGCGCAAAUUACCCAAUCCCGACACGGGGAGGUAGUGACAAUAAAUACUGAUACAGGGCUCUUUAGGGUCUUGUAAUUGGAAUGAGUACAAUUUAAACCUCUUAACGAGGAACAAUUGGAGGGCAAGUCUGGUGCCAGCAGCCGCGGUAAUUCCAGCUCCAAUAGCGUAUAUUAAAGUUGUUGCAGUUAAAAAGCUCGUAGUUGAACCUUUGGCCUGGCUGGCGGGUCCGCCUCACCGCGUGCACUCGUCCGGCCGGGCCUUUUCUUCUGGAGAACCGCAUGCCCUUCACUGGGUGUGUUGGGGACCAGGACUUUUACUUUGAAAAAAUUAGAGUGUUCAAAGCAGGCCUUUGCUCGAAUACGUUAGCAUGGAAUAAUAGAAUAGGACGUGCGGUCCUAUUUUGUUGGUUUCUAGGACCGCCGUAAUGAUUAAUAGGGACAGUCGGGGGCAUCAGUAUUCAAUUGUCAGAGGUGAAAUUCUUGGAUUUAUUGAAGACUAACUACUGCGAAAGCAUUUGCCAAGGAUGUUUUCAUUAAUCAGUGAACGAAAGUUAGGGGAUCGAAGACGAUCAGAUACCGUCGUAGUCUUAACCAUAAACUAUGCCGACUAGGGAUCGGGCGGUGUUACUAUUUUGACCCGCUCGGCACCUUACGAGAAAUCAAAGU